RNAcentral lists this transfer RNA (73 nucleotides) under Nippostrongylus brasiliensis. It matches the Rfam family "tRNA". From Rfam's summary of the family: Transfer RNA (tRNA) molecules are approximately 80 nucleotides in length. Their secondary structure includes four short double-helical elements and three loops (D, anti-codon, and T loops). The record is from Rfam by way of RNAcentral. Lineage: Eukaryota; Metazoa; Nematoda; Chromadorea; Rhabditida; Heligmosomidae.
GUCUCAGUAGCGUAGCGGUUAACGCACGGCCCUGGUUAGACGCGAGGCACGGGUUCGAAUCCCGCCUGAGAUG